This 512-nucleotide ribosomal RNA is filed under the name uncultured Actinomycetes bacterium. Its description in RNAcentral is "bacterial SSU rRNA". It matches the Rfam family "Bacterial small subunit ribosomal RNA", at positions 355 to 858 of the family's 1533-position model. The record is from RNAcentral. Lineage: Bacteria; Bacillati; Actinomycetota; Actinomycetes.
UGGGGAAUCUUGCGCAAUGCGCGAAAGCGUGACGCAGCAACGCCGCCUGGGGGAAGAAGGCCUUCGGGUUGUAAACCCCUUUCAGGAGGGACGAAGCCCGGGCGGUGAAUAGCCGACCCUGGUGACGGUACCUCCAGAAGAAGCCCCGGCUAACUACGUGCCAGCAGCCGCGGUAAUACGUAGGGGGCAAGCGUUGUCCGGAAUCAUUGGGCGUAAAGAGCGUGUAGGCGGUCCGGUAAGUCGGCUGUGAAAGUCCAGGGCUCAACCCUGGGAUGCCGGUCGAUACUGCCGGACUAGAGUCAGGAAGAGGCAAGUGGAAUUCCCGGCGUAGCGGUGAAAUGCGCAGAUAUCGGGAGGAACACCAAUGGCGAAGGCAGCUUGCUGGGACGGUACUGACGCUGAGACGCGAAAGCGUGGGGAGCAAACAGGAUUAGAUACCCUGGUAGUCCACGCCGUAAACGAUGGGCACUAGGUGUGGGAGGUGUCGACUCCUCCCGUGCCGGAGCUAACGC